UACACUCCUGCGGGAGGCAGCAGUGGGGAAUAUUGCACAAUGGGCGCAAGCCUGAUGCAGCCAUGCCGCGUGUAUGAAGAAGGCCUUCGGGUUGUAAAGUACUUUCAGCGGGGAGGAAGGCGAUAAGGUUAAUAACCUUGUUGAUUGACGUUACCCGCAGAAGAAGCACCGGCUAACUCCGUGCCAGCAGCCGCGGUAAUACGGAGGGUGCAAGCGUUAAUCGGAAUUACUGGGCGUAAAGCGCACGCAGGCGGUCUGUCAAGUCGGAUGUGAAAUCCCCGGGCUCAACCUGGGAACUGCAUUCGAAACUGGCAGGCUAGAGUCUUGUAGAGGGGGGUAGAAUUCCAGGUGUAGCGGUGAAAUGCGUAGAGAUCUGGAGGAAUACCGGUGGCGAAGGCGGCCCCCUGGACAAAGACUGACGCUCAGGUGCGAAAGCGUGGGGAGCAAACAGGAUUAGAAACCCUUGUAGUCCCAUGA
Molecule: ribosomal RNA, 477 nt
Filed under: uncultured organism
Description: partial 16S ribosomal RNA
Rfam family: Bacterial small subunit ribosomal RNA
Source: RNAcentral